GACGAACGCUGGCGGCGUGCUUAACACAUGCAAGUCGAACGGAAAGGCCCUGCUUUUGUGGGGUGCUCGAGUGGCGAACGGGUGAGUAACACGUGAGUAACCUGCCCUUGACUUUGGGAUAACUUCAGGAAACUGGGGCUAAUACCUGAUAGGAGCUCCUGCUGCAUGGUGGGGGUUGGAAAGUUUCGGCGGUUGGGGAUGGACUCGCGGCUUAUCAGCUUGUUUGUGGGGUAGUGGCUUACCAAGGCUUUGACGGGUAGCCGGCCUGAGAGGGUGACCGGCCACAUUGGGACUGAGAUACGGCCCAGACUCCUACGGGAGGAAGCAGUGGGGAAUAUUGCACAAUGGGAGGAAGCCUGAUGCAGCAACGCCGCGUGCGGGAUGACGGCCUUCGGGUUGUAAACCGCUUGCGACUGUGACGAAGCGUGAGUGACGGUAAUGGGUAAAGAAGCACCGGCUAACUACGUG
RNAcentral lists this ribosomal RNA (468 nucleotides) under uncultured bacterium. RNAcentral's name for it is "partial 16S ribosomal RNA". It matches the Rfam family "Bacterial small subunit ribosomal RNA", at positions 28 to 507 of the family's 1533-position model. The record is from RNAcentral.